UACAACGCACUACCUGUUCAUAGUAGUCGUUGCUGUCAACAGCACACUGCUCCCCAUCAACGCAGGGGACUACAUCUUCUCCACAGACUGGGCGUGGACGGCCUUCGUUGUGUUCUCGGUGUCCCCUGCGACCAUGCUAGCUGUAGUCGCCAUCUACUACCUUUCAUUCACAGGUGUUCACACCCACGAAACCUAUUCUGACCAUAUCUAUCCCAUCUACACAUGGUUGUCAAUGCGCUCAUUGUGUUGACUUGAGAUCCACUUCGUCUACGUCGGGGCACAAAGACGCACCAAGCACGCUGCCAUACUAAUUGGAGGUACGCUGGUUGGCCUAUCCUUCCCGUUGUUCCACAUGGUAAACCUGUUGGUUGUAAGGGACCCGCUCGAGGUGGCCUUCAAGUAUCCGAGACAGACACUGCCCGCGUACAUGACGCCUAUAGAGCCUCAGGUAGGGAAGUUCUACAACUCGCCUGUCGCCCUGGGUUCAGGUGCCGGUGCAGUGCUAACGGUACCCAUCGCUGCGUUGGGUGCAAAACUAAACACGUGG
Molecule: ribosomal RNA, 547 nt
Filed under: uncultured Nitrososphaerota archaeon
Lineage: Archaea; Thermoproteati; Nitrososphaerota
Description: uncultured thaumarchaeote partial 16S ribosomal RNA
Source: RNAcentral